Rattus norvegicus (Norway rat) is the source of this 366-nucleotide long non-coding RNA. The record is from Ensembl. Lineage: Eukaryota; Metazoa; Chordata; Mammalia; Rodentia; Muridae.
CCUGUGUUUCGUCACAGCAACAAGACAAACAGAUUAGCAGGUUCUAAGUUAGAAAGGAGAACUCAUGAUUCUGAAACCAACUUUAGAGAAGAUACUUGAAGACAUCCAUUAGACUGAAGAGAAGGAUAAACAUAUCGAUGAGGCUAAGGAAACAGGAUACCAUGCUGGGAUAGCAGUUUACGAAAGGAGGAACAGAACUCCAAACUACAAAGUCAGCAAAACGGCAGGAGUUAAUACAGGGAAAGGAAAGCCAAGCUGAUGCUGGCCAGGGAAACGAAGCCGUGUCUUCCCAGGAAAUGACUAGAAAAAACCCGGAGACUGGAUAUCUCUUCUGGACACCACAUUCCACCACCUGAUGCUGCUGAC